AUCCCGUGGGUUGAGCGAUGC
RNAcentral lists this microRNA (21 nucleotides) under Echinococcus granulosus. RNAcentral describes it as "egr-miR-307-5p". Its record names the gene egr-miR-307-5p. The record is from miRBase by way of RNAcentral. Lineage: Eukaryota; Metazoa; Platyhelminthes; Cestoda; Cyclophyllidea; Taeniidae.